Molecule: ribosomal RNA, 469 nt
Filed under: uncultured Acidovorax sp.
Lineage: Bacteria; Pseudomonadati; Pseudomonadota; Betaproteobacteria; Burkholderiales; Comamonadaceae
Description: bacterial SSU rRNA
Rfam family: Bacterial small subunit ribosomal RNA
Source: RNAcentral
GACGGGACCCGCACAAGCGGUGGAUGAUGUGGUUUAAUUCGAUGCAACGCGAAAACCUUACCCACCUUUGACAUGUACGGAAUCCUUUAGAGAUAGAGGAGUGCUCGAAAGAGAGCCGUAACACAGGUGCUGCAUGGCUGUCGUCAGCUCGUGUCGUGAGAUGUUGGGUUAAGUCCCGCAACGAGCGCAACCCUUGUCAUUAGUUGCUACAUUCAGUUGGGCACUCUAAUGAGACUGCCGGUGACAAACCGGAGGAAGGUGGGGAUGACGUCAAGUCCUCAUGGCCCUUAUAGGUGGGGCCUACACACGUCAUACAAUGGAUGGUACAAAGGGUCGCCAACCCGCGAGGGGGAGCCAAUCCCAUAAAGCCAUUCGUAGUCCGGAUCGCAGUCUGCAACUCGACUGCGUGAAGUCGGAAUCGCUAGUAAUCGUGGAUCAGAAUGUCACGGUGAAUACGUUCCCGGGUCUU